Molecule: RNA transcript, 3605 nt
Organism: Prunus dulcis (almond)
Lineage: Eukaryota; Viridiplantae; Streptophyta; Magnoliopsida; Rosales; Rosaceae
Gene name: phospholipid-transporting ATPase 1-like
Exons: 6
Source: RefSeq, a predicted model, not a curated record
AAAAUUUCCUUGUUUAUGGGUUAUCGAUAUUUUUGAUAUACAAAGUGGUACAGUUCGAUUUUGAGCCUAACUUGACUUUGUUCCGGUCUUUUUCGAUACGGUUCGGCUCGAUUCAUUGGUUGAAAACUUGAAAUGCCCUGAAGCUUCAAAAUUGCCGGGAAGCCAAACGGAUCCCUAAAACCCUAGCCUCCCUCCACAGUCUGCGUCACUAAAGCUUCGAAUUUGGUCCAAAAUCAAAGCUCUCUCUCUCUCUCUCUCUCUCUCUCUCUCUCUCUCUCUCUCCUCUCUCUCUCUCUCUCAGCUUUCCAAUUUUCGUGAGAACCACACGGCUCUUGCCCUUUUAUGCUUAAACCCUAGUCCCCAUUUCCAUGCUCAAUCACAUCCCCAUUUCCAUGCUCAAUCACAUCCGUAAAUGGAAGCCCACACAUAUAUUACAAAAAUCUCGAAUUCUCGCUCCCCUCUCUUCUCUCAUCUUCACUCAACCCUCAGUGUCUGCAGCAAAGCUCGAUGACGAGUCCACCGUCUUCCCAAACCCUAGAAACGCAGUCUCCGAAGUCAUUGCUGGCUUGAGAAUGUUUGGUUUGGGAAAUUGUGUUGGUGAUCAUCGUUUCAAAACCAUUAUCCCGACUUUGAAUCAGCCUCAGGUGGAUUUGAUUAUUGAAAGCUUGAGCACUGAGAACCCGGAGUCGGCUUUUGGUUUCUUCAACCUUUUGAGGAAUGAGUAUGCGUUUCGGCAUUCCAGGGUUUCAGAGUUUAUUGUUGCUCAUGUAUUAGCAGGGAGAAGGCUGUUUAAAGAACUGCGUUUGUUUGUGAAGCAAAUGGUGGAUCAGGAAGGGCCCGGUUCGGCACAUUUACUUUGUGAGCUGCUCUUACAUAGAUUCAGGGACUGGGACUCGAGUGGUGUGGUGUGGGAUAUGUUGGAGUUUGCUUAUUCAAGAUCUGAGAUGAUUCAUGAUGCUCUGUCUGUUCUUGCUAGGAUGAAAGAUCUGAAUUUGAACGUUUCAACACCAACCUAUAACUGCCUGUUGCAUAACUUAAGACAUACAGAUAUCAUGUGGAGUGUUUAUGAUGAAAUUAAAGAUAGUGGAACUCAUCAGAGUGACCACACUUUUGCCAUACUUAUAGAUGGACUAUGUGAGCAAUCCGGCCUACAAGAUGCAGUUUCGUUCCUCAUGGGUGUGGAAAGGGGGGAUAGUGGGCCUUCAGUUGUUUCAUUCAAUACCAUCAUGUCUAGGUUUUGUAAAUUGGGUUUCGUGGAUAUUGCAAAGUCGUUUUUUUGUAUGAUGUUCAAGUGUGGACUACUUCCAGAUUCAUACAGUUAUAAUAUUCUUAUUCAUGGGCUGUGUAUAGCUGGUUCAUUGGAAGAAGCAUUGGAGUUCACUAAAGACAUGGAGAGGCAUGGGGUACAGCCUGACACAGUCACCUACAACAUUCUUUGUAAGGGGUUUCAUCUACUUGGUUUGAUGAGUGGAGCUCGCGAGGUCAUUCAGAAGAUGUUGAUUAAAGGGUUGAAUCUGGAUCAUGUGACUUAUACAAUUUUGAUAUGUGGGCACUGCCAUGCUGGCAAUAUUGAAGAAGCCCUUAAGUUGCAGAAAGAGAUGCUUUCAAGGGGUUUUCAGUUGAGUGUCAUUUUAUACAGUGUACUUCUCAGCAGUUUGUGUAAAAGUGGACGAGUAGAAGAAGCGUUGCGAUUGCUGUAUGAGAUGGAAGCCGUUGGCUUGCAACCAGAUCUUAUAACAUACUCUAUCCUCAUUCAUGGCCUAUGCAAGCAAGGAGAUGUUCAGAGGGCAAGUGAACUAUAUAGAGAAAUGUACAUGAAGAGAAUCAUUCCCAAUUAUUUUGCACACCGUUCUAUUCUGUUAGGUCUGCGUGAGAAAGGGGAUAUAUCCGAAGCAAGGAAGUAUUUUGAGAAUCUACUAACAAGGGAUGUGACAAAGGAUAUUGUGCUGUAUAAUAUUAUGAUGGAUGGAUAUGUAAAAUUAGGUAACAUUGUAGAAUCCACACGAUUAUAUAGACAAAUACUUGAAAAGGGAAUAAAUCCUAGUAUUGUCACUUUCAAUACUCUUAUUUAUGGUUUCUGCAAAACUGGGAAACUGGUUGAGGCUCAUAAGAUGUUGGAUACCAUCAAGCUGCAUGGCUUGCUCCCAAGUCCAUUUACUUAUACUACUCUUAUGAAUGCCAACAUUGAACGAGGAAACAUCCAUAGCAUGCUUAAGUUGCUUGAGGAGAUGGAAGAAAAUGCUGUACAGCCAACCCAUGUAUCUUACACGGUAGUAAUUAAAGCACUUUUCAAACUGGGGAAGCUGCAGGAGGCUGUUCACUUAGUUGAGGAUAUGUAUGCUAAGGGCCUAACCCCAGACCAGAUCACGUAUAAUACACUGAUCAAAUGUUUCUGCAGAGCUCGAGACUUCUUGAAAGCUUUUCAGUUGCAUAAUGAGAUGUUGGUUCAUAAUCUUGAGCCUACUCCUGUUACAUAUAAUGUUCUCAUCAAUGGUCUUUGUGUAUAUGGCGAGCUAAUGGAUGCUGACAGGCUACUGGUUUCUCUUUGUGACUGCAAUAUCAAUUUGACAAAAGUUGCUUAUACCACAUUGAUCAAAGCACAUUGUGCAAAGGGUGAUGUACAUAGGGCAGUGGGGCUCUUCCAUCAAAUGGUGAAGAAAGGAUUUGAAAUCUCCAUUCGGGAUUAUAGUGCUGUUAUUAAUAGAUUGUGCAAAAGGUGUCUAAUAACUGAUGCAAAAUAUUUUUUCUGUAUGAUGCUGUCCAAUGGGAUUUGUCCUGAUCAAGAACUGUGUGAGGUAAUGCUGAAUACUUUUCGUCGUGUUGGUGAUCUCAAUUCAGUAGCUGAGCUUCUAGCUGAGAUGUUCAAACUUGGCUUUCUUCGUGAGUAAUCCAUGGGGAAGUGAAUAUCCUUUGGCAUCUGACCAUGGGGAAAACUUGUUCACCGGCUCAGUAGAAAAAUUCAGUUCAUGAGACCUCUGAUGUCUUAUGGAGAACUAUCUUAAAGUUAUAUUUCUCCUUUCAACCGGAUGACAAGUAUGAAUUCUCAUAGCCGGCCCAGAUCCAGGGUUUUGUGAAGAAUUACUUGCAGUCUGUUUCCUUCCUGAUCUAUACAUGGCGAGAAAAAUCAAGGACUGUUGAGAUGAGGACUUCAUUUUCUAUAUGGCAAAAUAUGGCAAGUUUUGAAGGGAUUCGUAGAAUUGGAUACCUGCAUAUGCAGAAUCCAAAAGAAAUUGAAAAAAUGAGUACCAUGAAUUUUACAAGAAAACUUUCAGUGGGUUCUUGGAUCCAGUUGCAUACACUCACUUCACGACUGAGAGUGUGAGGUGGAGUUCAGCAGUGUUCUUUACAUUCCUGGAAUGGGUCUCUUAACAAUGAGGAUGUAGAGAAUGCAAGAACAAAGAAUAUACAUUUAUUCCUUGAUACCUGAGCUUUGUUAAGGGUGUGGUGGAUUCGAAUGAUCUUCCUCUUAAUGUUUCUCAAGAGGUUAUUCAAGAAAGUCGAAUUGUAAGCCCUAGUUCUUCACUAUCUUUAUGCAUUUUGUGAAGGGAAUCCGAUUACUCUUUGGACAUCUCUGUAGCAGUUAAUAUUUUGUUCUUUGUUCUUGU